GGGUAAGAGAGGGCCCGGCAGGCCGGGUGCUUUGGGAACUGCUUCGGCUGAAGAUGUUGUUUCCUCUUUUAAAUCAAGCCAGAGUCUCAGCGUCCCCCAUUCUUUCUUCAUCCCCCACCCCCUUACCCAGCCGAGGGAGACCCAAUUCCUUUUUGAGGACCUACUUAGUGCCGUCCCUACAGCCCACCUGAUCUCCCUUGACUAACUGGACCGGGCAGGCUUGGAGCCAGCAGGACCCCGCAUUUGAGAUGGGUCCUGCAUUUGAGAUGAGCUCGGAACUGCUGAUUUCUCCUUCCCAGCUAUGAGACUGAAAUGUCAGGUAACAAACAUGGACCUCAGCUGUUUUCCAGAGGGCAGGAUAGGAGAACCUGGACCUCGGGAUCAGUAAUCCAGUCAUCUCUCAAGAUCAUGUUCCACUGCUCUACAUGAGGAUUACUGCAGAACUUGGGGUUUCAGGUGGUGAACUUCUCCUGGAUUCGCCCGGAGAAUUGCCUGUCGGAUUUUGUACAGUAUACCUCUCCUGCCACGCUCCGGCCGGAAAUGUUCUGUCUCGAGGAAAGAGGGGACAAUGAUGGAGACUCUUGCCAUCUUGCAGCUCAGGAAAGAAGAGAGGGAAGGACCUGAACCAGCCAAUAAUUACACUAAAUGAGGUAAAAAAAUUCAAUUACCUGGACUUGAAAGGUGCCACCACCCUGAGGCUCCUUGCACUAGAUAACCUGCAUUGCUCUCUGGUAACACUGCUUUCCCUGAGGGAGCCCAAGAGGCCAAGAAGAAGCUGCUCAACACUUCACCUUGGACUCGAGGACCUUCUCAAUCCCUCAAAAAUGGACCUUCACUCCUUUGAGACUACAGAUUGCCAGGGGAACUGAGAGGAGAGGUCAGGUGUCUAAAGAAUUGACUAGGUCAAGACCGACCAUCCACCGGCUGUUCCACUGGAUGCAAACUUCUUGGAGUAACCACGGCCACGGGGACCUUCACAGUGCAGCAUGGAUCUCCUUCGCCUCUGAUGUCUCCCUCGUCUCUGGAGUCUCCCACACCUCAAUAUACCUAAAAUAGAACUCUUUAUCUUUCCACCCAAACCCUAUAUAUAUCUGCUAUUUAUUUUUUAUUAAUUUAUUAUAAUAUCUGUCU
Ornithorhynchus anatinus (platypus) is the source of this 1131-nucleotide long non-coding RNA. RefSeq lists it as uncharacterized. Lineage: Eukaryota; Metazoa; Chordata; Mammalia; Monotremata; Ornithorhynchidae. The transcript has 7 exons. The record is from RefSeq and is a predicted model, not a curated record.